This 1098-nucleotide long non-coding RNA is filed under the name Citrus sinensis (sweet orange). Its description in RNAcentral is "long non-coding RNA (CSIN_LNC002824)". The record is from RNAcentral. Lineage: Eukaryota; Viridiplantae; Streptophyta; Magnoliopsida; Sapindales; Rutaceae.
UCAGAAAAGUUGACAAACAACGCCACCCAUCAACAGAAACCUUCUAUUUUCUUGUCUUGUUUGCAGAUACUGAGACAAACCCAGACCCAAAAAAUGGCUUCAUUCAGCUGCUUAUCUCUUAAAACACGCCACCAUAAUUACAUUGAACAACACAACGCAAGUCUGAGGCUCUCUCUCUCUCUCUCUAUCUGCCUUGUAACUCUCGCUGUAUGUUUCCCCGUCAAAAUUGUCUUUAUAAUGCUAUCUGCCUUGUAACUCUCGCUGUAUAAUUACAUUGAACAACACAACGCAAGUCUGAGGCUCUCUCUCUCUCUCUCUAUCUGCCUUGUAACUCUCGCUGUAUGUUUCCCCGUCAAAAUUGUCUUUAUAAUGACAUUGAUGACUCACAAACCAAUUCACAAUGAACCCACCCCAGGCCCCAAUUAACUUAUCAACAAAACUUGGUUUUUAAUGGUUCGCUCCCUCUCUCUCUCUCUCUCUCUCUCUUUCACUUUCAUAUCAUAAAUUCUCGCCGCCUUUGCUUUAACUCACUUUGAUCUGCUAAAAGUAAAAGAUCUUCUCUUUCUCUCUCUCCUCUGACGCAAAUCUCAAAAAAUGAUGCUGACACAGUUGUCUCUCCAAGUCUUUACCUCUAGCAUUAGCUUACCAAGCAGCAAAUGUAUGCAAAUACAAACACCACCCACAAAAAUAAUAACAAUAACAAAGUUUUUCUUAUUUCUAGUUUCUAUAUGCAAGCAAGCAAUGUAAUAAAAAUGCUUUGGUUCAUGUGUAAAAUGUUUUUUGAGAGUAGUUUUUGGAAGUGUUUUGGUUUAUGUAGCUUCUAAAUGCAAUGUGUAUAGGAGAAUAGGGGGGGAACUGGGUCUGUGAUAUUACAGGGUGGCUUGGCUUCAGAGAGCACAUUUUAAGCUGUUGCUUUGCUUUUAAUUAUGCCGUUAAAGUACGCCACCUUUUCUUUUUUCCCAUUUUUUUAAUUUUUUAUUUAUUUCCCGUUCUGCCCUCACUUGCUUACGCAUAUUUACCGUAAUUGCCCCCACUUUUGUUCUGGUCUGCUUCCCGAUUGACGCGUUGCUUACUUGCUUUGUCUUUUGACUUUUUGAC